RNAcentral lists this ribosomal RNA (468 nucleotides) under uncultured bacterium. RNAcentral's name for it is "partial 16S ribosomal RNA". It matches the Rfam family "Bacterial small subunit ribosomal RNA", at positions 28 to 507 of the family's 1533-position model. The record is from RNAcentral.
GACGAACGCUGGCGGCGUGCUUAACACAUGCAAGUCGAACGGAAGGGCCCUGCUUUUGUGGGGUGCUCGAGUGGCGAACGGGUGAGUAACACGUGAGUAACCUGCCCUUGACUUUGGGAUAACUUCAGGAAACUGGGGCUAAUACCGGAUAGGAGCUCCCGCUGCAUGGUGGGGGUUGGAAAGUUUCGGCGGUUGGGGAUGGACUCGCGGCUUAUCAGCUUGUUGGUGGGGUAGUGGCUUACCAAGGCUUUGACGGGUAGCCGGCCUGAGAGGGUGACCGGCCACAUUGGGACUGAGAUACGGCCCAGACUCCUACGGGAGGCAGCAGUGGGGAAUAUUGCACAAUGGGCGGAAGCCUGAUGCAGCAACGCCGCGUGCGGGAUGACGGCCUUCGGGUUGUAAACCGCUUUCGCCUGUGACGAAGCGUGAGUGACGGUAAUGGGUAAAGAAGCACCGGCUAACUACGUG